GGCUCAGGACGAACGCUGGCGGCGUGCCUAACACAUGCAAGUCGAGCGAGGAGAUCCUUCGGGAUGAUCCUAGCGGCGGACGGGUGAGUAACACGUGGGCAACCUGCCUCAUAGAGAGGAAUAGCCUUCCGAAAGGGAGAUUAAUACCUCAUAACAUUGCAGUUUCGCAUGGAACAGCAAUUAAAGGAGCAAUCCGCUAUGAGAUGGGCCCGCGGCGCAUUAGCUAGUUGGUGAGGUAACGGCUCACCAAGGCGACGAUGCGUAGCCGACCUGAGAGGGUGAUCGGCCACAUUGGGACUGAGACACGGCCCAGACUCCUACGGGAGGCAGCAGUGGGGAAUAUUGCACAAUGGGGGAAACCCUGAUGCAGCAACGCCGCGUGAGUGAUGACGGCCUUCGGGUUGUAAAGCUCUGUCUUCAGGGACGAUAAUGACGGUACCUGAGGAGGAAGCCACGGCUAACUACGUGCCAGCCGCCGC
Molecule: ribosomal RNA, 479 nt
Filed under: uncultured bacterium
Lineage: Bacteria
Description: bacterial SSU rRNA
Rfam family: Bacterial small subunit ribosomal RNA
Source: RNAcentral